Molecule: ribosomal RNA, 1346 nt
Filed under: uncultured bacterium
Lineage: Bacteria
Description: partial 16S ribosomal RNA
Rfam family: Bacterial small subunit ribosomal RNA
Source: RNAcentral
GACGAACGCUGGCGGCGUGCUUAACACAUGCAAGUCGAACGGAAAGGCCCUGCUUUUGUGGGGUGCUCGAGUGGCGAACGGGUGAGUAACACGUGAGUAACCUGCCCUUGACUUUGGGAUAACUUCAGGAAACUGGGGCUAAUACCGGAUAGGAGCUCCUGCUGCAUGGUGGGGGUUGGAAAGUUUCGGCGGUUGGGGAUGGACUCGCGGCUUAUCAGCUUGUUGGUGGGGUAGUGGCUUACCAAGGCUUUGACGGGUAGCCGGCCUGAGAGGGUGACCGGCCACAUUGGGACUGAGAUACGGCCCAGACUCCUACGGGAGGCAGCAGUGGGGAAUAUUGCACAAUGGGCGGAAGCCUGAUGCAGCAACGCCGCGUGCGGGAUGACGGCCUUCGGGUUGUAAACCGCUUUCGCCUGUGACGAAGCGUAAGUGACGGUAAUGGGUAAAGAAGCACCGGCUAACUACGUGCCAGCAGCCGCGGUGAUACGUAGGGUGCGAGCGUUGUCCGGAUUUAUUGGGCGUAAAGGGCUCGUAGGUGGUUGAUCGCGUCGGAAGUGCAAUCUUGGGGCUUAACCCUGAGCGUGCUUUCGAUACGGGUUGACUUGAGGAAGGUAGGGGAGAAUGGAAUUCCUGGUGGAGCGGUGGAAUGUGCAGAUAUCAGGAGGAACACCAGUGGCGAAGGCGGUUCUCUGGGCCUUUCCUGACGCUGAGGAGCGAAAGCGUGGGGAGCGAACAGGCUUAGAUACCCUGGUAGUCCACGCUGUAAACGGUGGGUACUAGGUGUGGGGUCCAUUCCACGGGUUCCGUGCCGUAGCUAACGCUUUAAGUACCCCGCCUGGGGAGUACGGCCGCAAGGCUAAAACUCAAAGGAAUUGACGGGGCCCCGCACAAGCGGCGGAGCAUGCGGAUUAAUUCGAUGCAACGCGUAGAACCUUACCUGGGUUUGACAUGGAUCGGGAGUGCUCAGAGAUGGGUGUGCCUCUUUUGGGGUCGGUUCACAGGUGGUGCAUGGCUGUCGUCAGCUCGUGUCGUGAGAUGUUGGGUUAAGUCCCGCAACGAGCGCAACCCUUGUUCACUGUUGCCAGCACGUUAUGGUGGGGACUCAGUGGAGACCGCCGGGGUCAACUCGGAGGAAGGUGGGGAUGACGUCAAGUCAUCAUGCCCCUUAUGUCCAGGGCUUCACGCAUGCUACAAUGGCUGGUACAGAGAGUGGCGAGCCUGUGAGGGUGAGCGAAUCUCGGAAAGCCGGUCUCAGUUCGGAUUGGGGUCUGCAACUCGACCUCAUGAAGUCGGAGUCGCUAGUAAUCGCAGAUCAGCAACGCUGCGGUGAAUACGUUCCCGGGGCU